GAUGAACGCUGGCGGCGUGCCUAAUACAUGCAAGUCGAGCGAACAGAUGAGGAGCUUGCUCCUCUGACGUUAGCGGCGGACGGGUGAGUAACACGUGGAUAACCUACCUAUAAGACUGGGAUAACUUCGGGAAACCGGAGCUAAUACCGGAUAAUAUAUUGAACCGCAUGGUUCAAUAGUGAAAGACGGUUUUGCUGUCACUAAUAGAUGGAUCCGCGCCGCAUUAGCUAGUUGGUAAGGUAACGGCUUACCAAGGCAACGAUGCGUAGCCGACCUGAGAGGGUGAUCGGCCACACUGGAACUGAGACACGGUCCAGACUCCUGCGGGAGGCAGCAGUAGGGAAUCGUCCGCAAUGGGCGAAAGCCUGACGGAGCAACGCCGCGUGAGUGAUGAAGGUCUUCGGAUCGUAAAGCUCUGUUAUUAGGGAAGAACAAAUGUGUAAGUAACUAUGCACGUCUUGACGGUACCUAAUCAGAAAGCCACGGCUAACUACGUG
RNAcentral lists this ribosomal RNA (497 nucleotides) under uncultured bacterium. RNAcentral's name for it is "partial 16S ribosomal RNA". It matches the Rfam family "Bacterial small subunit ribosomal RNA", at positions 28 to 507 of the family's 1533-position model. The record is from RNAcentral.